UACGUAGGGUGCAAGCGUUGUCCGGAAUUAUUGGGCGUAAGGGGCUCGUAGGCGGUUUGUCGCGUCGGGAGUGAAAACUCAGGGCUUAACCCUGAGCCUGCUUCCGAUACGGGCAGACUAGAGGUAUGCAGGGGAGAAUGGAAUUCCUGGUGUAGCGGUGAAAUGCGCAGAUAUCAGGAGGAACACCGGUGGCGAAGGCGGUUCUCUGGGCAUUACCUGACGCUGAGGAGCGAAAGUGUGGGGAGCGAACAGG
This 253-nucleotide ribosomal RNA is filed under the name uncultured bacterium. Its description in RNAcentral is "partial 16S ribosomal RNA". It matches the Rfam family "Bacterial small subunit ribosomal RNA", at positions 524 to 776 of the family's 1533-position model. The record is from RNAcentral.